UCCCCGAGCGUUGUCCGGGAUUUAUUGGGCGUAAAGCGAGCGCAGGCGGUUUGAUAAGUCUGAAGUUAAAGGCUGUGGCUCAACCAUAGUUCGCUUUGGAAACUGUCAAACUUGAGUGCAGAAGGGGAGAGUGGAAUUCCAUGUGUAGCGGUGAAAUGCGUAGAUAUAUGGAGGAACACCGGUGGCGAAAGCGGCUCUCUGGUCUGUAACUGACGCUGAGGCUCGAAAGCGUGGGGAGCGAACAGGAUUAGAUACCCUGGUAGUCCACGCCGUAAACGAUGAGUGCUAGGUGUUGGAUCCUUUCCGGGAUUCAGUGCCGCAGCUAACGCAUUAAGCACUCCGCCUGGGGAGUACGACCGCAAGGUUGAAACUCAAAGGAAUUGACGGGGGCCCGCACAAGCGGUGGAGCAUGUGGUUUAAUUCGAAGCAACGCGAAGAACCUUACCAGGUCUUGACAUCCCGAUGCUAUUUCUAGAGAUAGAAAGUUACUUCGGUACAUCGGUGACAGGUGGUGCAUGGUUGUCGUCAGCUCGUGUCGUGAGAUGUUGGGUUAAGUCCCGCAACGAGCGCAACCCCUAUUGUUAGUUGCCAUCAUUCAGUUGGGCACUCUAGCGAGACUGCCGGUAAUAAACCGGAGGAAGGUGGGGAUGACGUCAAAUCAUCAUGCCCCUUAUGACCUGGGCUACACACGUGCUACAAUGGUUGGUACAACGAGUUGCGAGUCGGUGACGGCGAGCUAAUCUCUUAAAGCCAAUCUCAGUUCGGAUUGUAGGCUGCAACUCGCCUACAUGAAGUCGGAAUCGCUAGUAAUCGCGGAUCAGCACGCCGCGGUGAAUACGUUCCCGGGCCUUGUACACGCCACCCGUCACACCACGAGAGUUUGUAACACCCGAAGUCGGUGAGGUACCUUUGGAGCCAGCCGCCUAAGUGAACAGU
This 936-nucleotide ribosomal RNA is filed under the name Streptococcus thermophilus. RNAcentral's name for it is "bacterial SSU rRNA". It matches the Rfam family "Bacterial small subunit ribosomal RNA", at positions 531 to 1475 of the family's 1533-position model. The record is from RNAcentral. Lineage: Bacteria; Bacillati; Bacillota; Bacilli; Lactobacillales; Streptococcaceae.